Odontomachus brunneus is the source of this 1125-nucleotide RNA transcript. It is a transcript of the gene named ATP synthase subunit C lysine N-methyltransferase, with no coding region annotated. The transcript has 5 exons. NCBI's taxonomy places the organism in Eukaryota, Metazoa, Arthropoda, Insecta, Hymenoptera, Formicidae. The record is from RefSeq and is a predicted model, not a curated record.
GAGUAGGUAGCGUGCUCCCCGAACGCACCCUUUCGGUACUGACAGUGAAUUUCGGAGCUAUAAAUGAUCCAUAUAGGAUAUAAAAUCUUAAAAGAUAUUGUAAUAUUUUUAGUUUAUAAUAUCUAAUUUAUUUAAAAUAACUUUUGUUCAUACAUUUAUUUUAUAAUAGAAGAAAUUCUGUAUAGAUAAGUAUGUUAUGAAAUGGAAUACUUUCCUGUCAAAGAAAAUAAUGUAUCACAAAAAGUAUCAUCAUCAAAAAUUGGCUUAUUUUUAAUUGCAGCUACAGGUGGAAUUGCAACAGCAAUUAGUGUUAUAUGUUUUCCAUUUAUAAGUCCUGCAUUUCGGAAGGUAUGUUUACCAUAUGUACCAGCUACGCAUCAACAGAUAAGAAAUGUUAUUCAAGCAUUAAAUGGUCGAUCUGGCUCUUUAAUUGAUCUUGGAAGUGGAGAUGGACGUAUAGUUCUUGCAGCAGCAAAACUGGGUUUUAAAGCUCAUGGCAUUGAAUUAAAUACCUGGCUAAUAUGGUAUUCGAGAUUUAAAGCACUUAUAAAUGGUUUAUCAAAAAAUACUGUUUUUUUAAAGCAGGAUUUAUGGAAAUACAAUCUGAAAAGAUAUAAUAAUAUUGUUAUAUUUGGUGUAGAUCAAAUGAUGGAAGAUAUUGAAAGAAAGUUUAAUAGUGAAUUGUGUAAAGAUUCACUUGUAAUUGCAUGUAGAUUUCCUCUUCCUAAUAUACACCCUAUUACGACAAUUGGACAUGGAGUUGAUACUGUUUGGGUUUACAGAAUACUUCAGGAAUGAAAUUGAGGUAACAAAGAUAUUCUUAAAUUGAUCUUAGUAGUUAAUUUAAAAUAUAGAGGUAAAAUAAAAAAAAUUGAUCUUAGUAGUUAAUUUAAAAUAUAGAGGUAAAAUAAAAAAAAUUGAAGUAUAUUUAAUACUACAUAUUUGUUAAAAUAUAAAAUACAGCAUGAAGAAUUUUUGUGUUAAUCAUAAGAAAAAUAUGUGGCCAGUGGACUUGUUCCAUGGCCACACAUACAUAAGAAAAAUAUAAAUUUAUAUCUUUACAUAUACUUAAAAUAUUAAAUAAAUUAUAUUAUUUAAUAUCCGUUAAAUAAACUAAUUUUGGUA